This 328-nucleotide unclassified non-coding RNA is filed under the name soil metagenome. RNAcentral's name for it is "partial contains 5.8S ribosomal RNA, internal transcribed spacer 2, and large subunit ribosomal RNA". The stretch from base 1 to 120 matches the Rfam family "5.8S ribosomal RNA", at positions 35 to 154 of the family's 154-position model. The record is from RNAcentral.
GAUGAAGAACGCAGCAAAAUGCGAUAAGUAGUGUGAAUUGCAGAAUUCAGUGAAUCAUCGAAUCUUUGAACGCACAUUGCGCCCCUUGGUAUUCCGAGGGGCAUGCCUGUUCGAGCGUCAUUAUAACCCUCAAGCUCAGCUUGGUGUUGGGGCCUGCUGCACUGGCAGCCCUUAAAAUCAGUGGCGGCGCCAUCUGGCUCUAAGCGUAGUAAUUCUUCUCGCUAUGGAGUCCUGGUGGAUGCUUGCCAUCAACCCCCAAUUUUUCUAUGGUUGACCUCGGAUCAGGUAGGGAUACCCGCUGAACUUAAGCAUAUCAAUAAGCGGAGGA